GCUGGGCACGGUGGCUCACGCCUGUAAUCCCAGCGCUUUGGGAGGCUGAGGCGGGGGGAUCACCUGAGGUCAGGAGUUCGAGGCCAGCCUGACCAACAUGGUGAAACCCCGUCUCUA
RNAcentral lists this non-coding RNA (117 nucleotides) under Nomascus leucogenys (northern white-cheeked gibbon). Lineage: Eukaryota; Metazoa; Chordata; Mammalia; Primates; Hylobatidae. The record is from Rfam by way of RNAcentral.